Microtus oregoni (creeping vole) is the source of this 1829-nucleotide long non-coding RNA. RefSeq lists it as uncharacterized. The transcript is spliced from 4 exons. NCBI's taxonomy places the organism in Eukaryota, Metazoa, Chordata, Mammalia, Rodentia, Cricetidae. The record is from RefSeq and is a predicted model, not a curated record.
AAUGACUCUCCGGAUCCAGGGCAUGUAUUUGCAGACAUCAGUGUAGACGGCGGGGUGCGGGGUAGCACCACAGGGGUAAAUGCCCCACGAGAGGAUGCCAUGCAGGGUGUUGUCGCACACCAGUGGGCCACCAGAGUCACUCUGAGGAAGUGAGGAAAGAGACAUCAUGAGCCAGGACACAGAAAUGCUUCCUGACCUGUCCUUACCUGGCAAGAGUCCUGGUUUCUGUCCAGCCCGGCACAAAUCAUGUUGUUGGUGAUUACGCCCGGGUAGAAGACCUCACACUGCUUCCGGCUAAGGAGAGUUACCCUGGAGCAGCAGUGGGCGGCCGUGAGCACCCAGUUCCGGUCGACGAGGACACCCGCGCACUGGAACUGGAGGUUGUGGAAGAGGGAGACCUGCCAGGGUUGUGAGCCACGCGUGCACGGGACGCUAGCCGUCUCAAGGUCCACCUGCGUGGCGUUUCCCGGAAGCAAUAACGCCUGCGCGGCUGGGUGCCACGCAAGCUGGUGAAUCACAGGAGGCCCAGGCUGCAAGGGGCAGGCCACAUCACUUCAGCUAACACCCUCAUUUUGGGUGAGGAAUGGGAGGCUCAGAGAGGGUUGUGACUCAUCAGAGGUCACACAGCAAGCAAGUCCGCCUAACAACCAGAAGAUUCUAUCUAGUUCCAGCUCUGAGUCCUUCCUUGUGCCAGCGAUCUCUCUCCAAGAGCUGGACAGAACGUCUGUGUUACCUGGGGAAUCUCGUGCCUGGCUCAGCCCCGUCCAGAGCUUUUGCUACAGCGGCUACGGAGCCUUAGAAACAUGUCAAAGGUGCUAGGAAUUUCCGUUCUGCUUUCAGGUCCUUUCACUGCAGAUACCAAUCAAAUCUGACCUCAGUGAACUGAAUCCGGACAGUUUGAAAAUGACGGCAGCCUUCUUUCUACCUCUUCCUCCACGCAUGCAGACACGCUCACUGCUAUUGCACUUGCUCAUGUGCAAUUUCCCAUGGAGGAUGAGGAACUGAAAGCCGUGAAGGAGCUGAAUUGAGUUCUUUCUGCCUGGCCUGCAAGAUGGCUUGGUGGGUAAGGGCACUUGCUGCCAGCCCGAUUGGACCCUACGUGGUGAAGGAGAGAACUGACUUUACAAGUUGCACACUUCCGCAUGUGUGCCGUGGCAUGAGCACCCCCUCCACGAAUGAGUAAAUGUAAAAAUAAAAAUUUAAGUAACAUAAAAAGAAAAUGGACUAAGCUGUAAGGUGGCAUCGCCCUGAAAGUUAAGACUGUCACGGGGCUUUUAAAUUCUCCAGUCUUUCACUUCUCUGGCUGUGACAAAUGUCUUCAUCUAUUUUUCUUGUCAACAGAAAAUAGGACCAGUCUCCUGGGGGCGGGGGGGGGGGGUUGAGCAUUUAGUUGGUUAGUAACAUUUACAGGCUCUGGAGGGCUGAAGAGACAGCUCAGCAGUUCAGAGGACUUGCUGCCCUUGCCGGGGCCCCAGGUUUGGUUCCCAGCACCCAUAUGGUGGCCAGGGGACCAGAUGCCCUCUUCGGGACUUCUCAGGCACCAAGCAGGCAUGUGGUGCACGUAGAAAUAUGCAGGCAAAGACUCAACACACAUAAAUCACUGAAAAGCCGUCUGGAUCAGGAUCCGAAUGCAGAUGACAUUGAAUUCGAACCAUUUUAUCAUUUAACAAAUAUUUAUUGAAACCCUGGGAUAAGCCAGGACUUUAGGACUGGGGACAAAACAACAACAACGACAAAACAACCAAACAAAGCCACUGAUGAUCGUAUUAGGAGUCACAACUUAGGUCAAGGGAGAAUUUGUUCCAAGUCCCAAGUUGAUCAUCAGGUCA